GCGGGAAUAGCUCAGUUGGUAGAGCAUAACCUUGCCAAGGUUGGGUCGCGAGUUCGAGUCUCGUUUCCCGCUCCA
Molecule: transfer RNA, 75 nt
Filed under: Acinetobacter baumannii
Lineage: Bacteria; Pseudomonadati; Pseudomonadota; Gammaproteobacteria; Moraxellales; Moraxellaceae
Also listed under: 1 other name
Description: tRNA-Gly
Rfam family: tRNA
About the family: Transfer RNA (tRNA) molecules are approximately 80 nucleotides in length.
Source: RNAcentral